This 83-nucleotide non-coding RNA is filed under the name Climacostomum virens. Lineage: Eukaryota; Ciliophora; Heterotrichea; Heterotrichida; Climacostomidae. The record is from RNAcentral.
AGCAAAAGAUUUUUACAAACAAAAAGAAAGAAAGAAAUGCGUGAUCGACAUUUGUUUUUGUCUUUUUUUAUUAUUUUUGUUUU